This 683-nucleotide long non-coding RNA is filed under the name Apteryx rowi (Okarito brown kiwi). RNAcentral describes it as "lncRNA (ENSARWG00000014668.1)". The record is from RNAcentral. Lineage: Eukaryota; Metazoa; Chordata; Aves; Apterygiformes; Apterygidae.
AUGGGGACACCAUGGGGACACAGGGACCUGUGUCACCCUGGCCCAUCGUCCCCAUCCUGCUCUGAGCCAUGGGGACACCUCGGGGACAUUGUCCCCACCCUGUGCCAGCCCCGGUGUCCCCUUCCCGCCCCGAGCCACAGGGUUGGGGGACACCAUGGGGACCGAGGGGCCGGUCAUGGUGUCACAGUCCCCGGGAACGAACUGUGUCACCCGUGCGUGGCCUGUCACCAUCACCAGGAAGGAACCGUGGCUGGGAAUGAACUGUGUCACCCGCGUGUGGCCUGUCACCGUAGCUGGGAACGAACCGUGUCACCUGCGCAUGGCCUGUCACUGUCACCAUCCCCGGGAAUAAACUGUCACCUGUGUGUGGCCUGUCACCAUCACCGGGAAGGAACUGUGUCACCUGCACAUGGCCUGUCACCAUCACUGUUCCUGGGAAUGAACUGUGUCACCUGCGCGUGGCCUGUCACCGUCACCAUCCCCGUGAAUGAACCAUGUCCUCUGCGUGUGGCCUGUCACCGUGGCUGGGAACAAACUGUGUCACCUGUGUGUGGUCUGUCACCGUCCCCAGGAACAACCCGUGUCACCCGCGCGUGGCCUGUCACCAUCACCGUUCCUGGGAAUGAACCAUGUCACCUGCGCGUAGCCUGUCACUGUCCCCGGGAAUGACCUGUGUCACCCGC